AACCAGCACCUCGAGUGGUCAGGAGGUUUAUUGGGCCUAAAGCAUCCGUAGCCGGUUGCAUAAGUUUUCGGUUAAAUCUAUGCGCUUAACGUAUAGGCCGCCGAAAAUACUGUGCAGCUAGGGAGUGGGAGAGGUACACGGUACUCGAUAGGAAGGGGUAAAAUCCUUUGAUCUAUUGAUGACCACCUGUGGCGAAGGCGGUGUACCAGAACACGUUCGACGGUGAGGGAUGAAAGCUGGGGGAGCAAAC
RNAcentral lists this ribosomal RNA (250 nucleotides) under uncultured bacterium. Its description in RNAcentral is "partial 16S ribosomal RNA". It matches the Rfam family "Archaeal small subunit ribosomal RNA", at positions 474 to 724 of the family's 1478-position model. The record is from RNAcentral.